UCUGAAUUCAUUUUUUCUUCCUCUGAUUAAAUUACUGGCUGAUCACUAUGACCUUGUGGAGGCUUGGUUUUGUAUUUGUUAAGGUCAGGUGUAUUUUGGUUUUGCCCUUAGUCCUAAGACAUACUCUUGAAUCUAAACUCAUGGUCUCUUUGAAUUUUUAAUGGAAAGCCUAAGAUGUUAUUACAUCCCUCUAACUUGAUAGAAGUCAAACUCUAAACUCUUUCUCCCCCCA
This 232-nucleotide long non-coding RNA is filed under the name Homo sapiens (human). RNAcentral's name for it is "non-protein coding lnc-DPCD-6:1". The record is from RNAcentral. Lineage: Eukaryota; Metazoa; Chordata; Mammalia; Primates; Hominidae.